This is a non-coding RNA of Sturnus vulgaris (Common starling), 217 nucleotides long. NCBI's taxonomy places the organism in Eukaryota, Metazoa, Chordata, Aves, Passeriformes, Sturnidae. The record is from RefSeq and is a predicted model, not a curated record.
AAGAGGUGUGGAGCAUUUUAUGACUUGCUACAUAGAUAUUGGGCACAGCCAUCCUCGUGAUUUCUGGAUCCUCUUGUGCCUCCCCAGCCUGUCAAGCUCUGCUGAUGUGGCUUGUUCUGCACUGGACUCACCCGGAGGCUGAAUGAAUGGACUAACAAAUCCAAAGGGCGGAACUGGGAGCUGAUCUGGAGGUCGGGAUUUCCACCUCUGAUCAAAG